AACGAACGCUGGCGGCGCGCCUAAUACAUGCAAGUCGAGCGAGAAGACGUAGCAAUACGUUUGUAAAGCGGCGAACGGGUGAGGAAUACAUGGGUAACCUACCCUCGAGUGGGGAAUAACUAGCCGAAAGGUUAGCUAAUACCGCGUACGCUCCUUGGACUUCGGUUCAGGGAGGAAAGCGAUACCGUGGGUAUCGCGCUCUUGGAUGGGCUCAUGUCCUAUCAGCUUGUUGGUGAGGUAACGGCUCACCAAGGCUUCGACGGGUAGCUGGUCUGAGAGGACGAUCAGCCACACUGGCACUGCGACACGGGCCAGACUCCUACGGGAGGCAGCAGUAAGGAAUAUUGCGCAAUGGGCGAAAGCCUGACGCAGCGACGCCGCGUGGGGGAUGAAGGU
This 396-nucleotide ribosomal RNA is filed under the name uncultured bacterium. RNAcentral describes it as "bacterial SSU rRNA". It matches the Rfam family "Bacterial small subunit ribosomal RNA", at positions 29 to 415 of the family's 1533-position model. The record is from RNAcentral.